UCUCGUUGAUGAUCGGUGCUUGCACCGAGAUUCACAUGGAACGAGUGGCGGACGGGUGAGUAACACGUGGGUAACCUGCCCUUAAGUGGGGGAUAACAUUUGGAAACAGAUGCUAAUACCGCAUAGAUCCAAGAACCGCAUGGUUCUUGGCUGAAAGAUGGCGUAAGCUAUCGCUUUUGGAUGGACCCGCGGCGUAUUAGCUAGUUGGUGAGGUAAUGGCUCACCAAGGCGAUGAUACGUAGCCGAACUGAGAGGUUGAUCGGCCACAUUGGGACUGAGACACGGCCCAAACUCCUACGGGAGGCAGCAGUAGGGAAUCUUCCACAAUGGACGCAAGUCUGAUGGAGCAACGCCGCGUGAGUGAAGAAGGCUUUCGGGUCGUAAAACUCUGUUGUUGGAGAAGAAUGGUCGGCAGAGUAACUGUUGUCGGCGUGACGGUAUCCAACCAGAAAGCCACGGCUAACUACGUGCCAGCAGCCGCGGUAAUACGUAGGUGGCAAGCGUUAUCCGGAUUUAUUGGGCGUAAAGCGAGCGCAGGCGGUUUUUUAAGUCUGAUGUGAAAGCCCUCGGCUUAACCGAGGAAGCGCAUCGGAAACUGGGAAACUUGAGUGCAGAAGAGGACAGUGGAACUCCAUGUGUAGCGGUGAAAUGCGUAGAUAUAUGGAAGAACACCAGUGGCGAAGGCGGCUGUCUGGUCUGUAACUGACGCUGAGGCUCGAAAGCAUGGGUAGCGAACAGGAUUAGAUACCCUGGUAGUCCAUGCCGUAAACGAUGAAUGCU
This 780-nucleotide ribosomal RNA is filed under the name Lactobacillus sp. HFH0049. RNAcentral describes it as "bacterial SSU rRNA". It matches the Rfam family "Bacterial small subunit ribosomal RNA", at positions 62 to 817 of the family's 1533-position model. Lineage: Bacteria; Bacillati; Bacillota; Bacilli; Lactobacillales; Lactobacillaceae. RNAcentral also lists the same sequence under 1 other name. The record is from RNAcentral.